GUGGGGAAUAUUGGACAAUGGGGGGAACCCUGAUCCAGCCAUGCCGCGUGUGUGAAGAAGGCCUUUUGGUUGUAAAGCACUUUAAGCGAGGAGGAGGCUACCGAGAUUAAUACUCUUGGAUAGUGGACGUUACUCGCAGAAUAAGCACCGGCUAACUCUGUGCCAGCAGCCGCGGUAAUACAGAGGGUGCAAGCGUUAAUCGGAUUUACUGGGCGUAAAGCGCGCGUAGGUGGCCAAUUAAGUCAAAUGGUCAAUCCCCGAGCUUAACUUGUGAAUUGCAUUCGAUACUGGUUGGCUAGAGUAUGGGAGAGGAUGGUAGAAUUCCAGGUGUAGCGGUGAAAUGCGUAGAGAUCUGGAGGAAUACCGAUGGCGAAGGCAGCCAUCUGGCCUAAUACUGACACUGAGGUGCGAAAGCAUGGGGAGCAAACAGGAUUAGAUACCCUAGUAGUCC
This 451-nucleotide ribosomal RNA is filed under the name uncultured bacterium. RNAcentral describes it as "partial 16S ribosomal RNA". It matches the Rfam family "Bacterial small subunit ribosomal RNA", at positions 354 to 796 of the family's 1533-position model. The record is from RNAcentral.